AUGAGCAAGAGGGCGUGGCUAGAGACGCCCAGAUUCUUUCACUUUCCUCUCCUUUUCUGCAAGAGUUGGGAGAAGAGAAUAUUUUUGUCUCCCGCCUCCAGCCUCGGAACCUCAGGCAGCGCAGAGGCCUCUGGGAAGCAGGAAGCCGGAAGUCACGAUUGUGCAGCCCAGCUUCCCCGCGAAUCCUCCGGGUUAAGAUGGGUCCCCCUUUCGGCUUCCCCUUCAGGACCCAGGAGUCCUGACCCCCAGCUCCUGGUUAGAGAUUCCAUCGUCAGCCCUCUGGGGGCUGGAGGGUCCCCCAGGCCCUGCCAAGUUGCCGCAUAGAGCCCAGAGGACACGGGACGGUCCCUGUGGGUCAUGGGGGGGGCCUUGCUUGGCCUCCCUGGACAGUCAGUGAGUUCUCCAGGCACCCCCGAGGUGCUUCAAAAGGUCUCUGCCCAGAAAACCCCAAGAGGGAAAUUUGAGUUACCAAAGCGAGAACAGGUGGGCUCCUUGUGGAUGGGGGUUCCAGAAGGGCAGAGCUCUGCAGGCUUGGCCUGGGCUCAUCCCAUGGGGCAUCCCGGGCCCUGUUGCCUCGGGG
This 580-nucleotide long non-coding RNA is filed under the name Monodelphis domestica (gray short-tailed opossum). RNAcentral's name for it is "lncRNA (ENSMODG00000039538.1)". Lineage: Eukaryota; Metazoa; Chordata; Mammalia; Didelphimorphia; Didelphidae. The record is from RNAcentral.